Molecule: ribosomal RNA, 718 nt
Filed under: uncultured bacterium
Lineage: Bacteria
Description: bacterial SSU rRNA
Rfam family: Bacterial small subunit ribosomal RNA
Source: RNAcentral
GGGUGAGUAACACGUGGGUAACCUGCCCUAAAGUCUGGGAUACCACUUGGAAACAGGCGCUAAUACCGGAUAACAACAAUAGCUGCAUGGCUAUUGCUUAAAAGGCGGCGAAAGCUGUCGCUAAAGGAUGGACCCGCGGUGCAUUAGCUAGUUGGUAAGGUAAUGGCUUACCAAGGCGACGAUGCAUAGCCGAGUUGAGAGACUGAUCGGCCACAUUGGGACUGAGACACGGCCCAAACUCCUACGGGAGGCAGCAGUAGGGAAUCUUCCACAAUGGGCGAAAGCCUGAUGGAGCAACGCCGCGUGAGUGAAGAAGGUUUUCGGAUCGUAAAGCUCUGUUGUUGGUGAAGAAGGAUAGAGGUAGUAACUGGCCCCUAUUUGACGGUAAUCAACCAGAAAGUCACGGCUAACUACGUGCCAGCAGCCGCGGUAAUACGUAGGUGGCAAGCGUUGUCCGGAUUUAUUGGGCGUAAAGCGAGCGCAGGCGGAAAGAUAAGUCUGAUGUGAAAGCCCCCGGCUUAACCGAGGAAUUGCAUCGGAAACUGUGUUUCUUGAGUGCAGAAGAGGAGAGUGGAACUCCAUGUGUAGCGGUGGAAUGCGUAGAUAUAUGGAAGAACACCAGUGGCGAAGGCGGCUCUCUGGUCUGUAACUGACGCUGAGGCUCGAAAGCAUGGGUAGCGAACAGGAUUAGAUACCCUGGUAGUCCAUGCCGUAAACG